This 974-nucleotide long non-coding RNA is filed under the name Dicentrarchus labrax (European seabass). RNAcentral describes it as "lncRNA (ENSDLAG00005032792.1)". The record is from RNAcentral. Lineage: Eukaryota; Metazoa; Chordata; Actinopteri; Moronidae.
CUCUUAUAAUAUCAUCUGUAUGGUACUGUGGCAUGUUAUGCAUAUAUGCCCAUCAUCAUUUGCCACUGUAUGUAAUUUAUUAUCUUUCUUUCUCUAAUGAUUUGGAUUUAAAAGUCUAUUUAAGUCUACUGCCGGCCCUGUGAUGGUUAUUGAUCUUCUGAUGUUGCCUGUACAACCUUUAAUGCCCUAAAGUAGAGCCUGAGAGUAGAGUCACACCAGCACGCUCCACUGGGCCCUGUGAAAGGAUGCCAGCAAGUGAAAACAAUUCUGAUUUUUAAGCAUGACGAUACAUGACGAUGCCAAAAUUACCACUGCCUGAUGUUAGCUGGGGUCUGUGGAAACUGUGUCACGGUGAAUGUGGGCUGCAUCAAAGGCUUCUGCAGUGGCAAAGUGCCACCCGUAACAAAGGGAGCCUUAUGGCUGGGCCCGACGGUCUAACGUGUACCACUACCCCCCCGACCCCCGUCAGCCAUCAGCACAUCAGAGCGGAGAGGAAAGGCUGGACCUCAUCUCACCUCUCAAAGAGCUUCAUGACCCUGUUGCUCCCAGCUGCAUUCACGCCGCCUGACACCAAGUUCAAACACAAAGGCAUUCUCUUCUGUCUACAAGACCCAUUUAACACAUGAGUGGCGGCGGACUCGCGAGGGGGGUGAAGGUUCAUAAAAUUGAUGUACCUCGACAUCAGCUGACCUCUGUCAGAUAGUUCGGUCUGCUGAGGCUUUCUCUGUCACAUGUAGUAAGCUUCCUGCUCCGACUGAACUGAGGUAUUAUCUUUUUUUUUAAUAAAACAUCAUUGCUAAUGCAAUUCAAUUUAGGUCCCCCAAAAUUCAUUGCACUGAGAAGCCAUUUUGUGUAUUCAAGACCUGUGAAUAUCAAACCCACUGAUCAUAUGUUUGAGCGGAGCAAGGCAUCAAUUUCAUUGCAGGAAAAUUUGUAUGGAGGGGUUUUUAAAGUGGAUAGAUUUUAUAAUGUAG